RNAcentral lists this ribosomal RNA (497 nucleotides) under uncultured bacterium. RNAcentral's name for it is "partial 16S ribosomal RNA". It matches the Rfam family "Bacterial small subunit ribosomal RNA", at positions 28 to 507 of the family's 1533-position model. The record is from RNAcentral.
GAUGAACGCUGGCGGCGUGCCUAAUACAUGCAAGUCGAGCGAACAGAUGAGGAGCUUGCUCCUCUGACGUUAGCGGCGGACGGGUGAGUAACACGUGGAUAACCUACCUAUAAGACUGGGAUAACUUCGGGAAACCGGAGCUAAUCCCGGAUAAUAUCUUGAACCGCAUGGUUCAAUAGUGAAAUACGGUUUUGCUGUCACUUAUCGAUGGAUCCGCGCCGCAUUAGCUAGUUGGUAAGGUAACGGCUUACCAAGGCAACGAUGCGUAGCCGACCUGAGAGGGUGAUAGGCCACACUGGAACUGAGACACGGUCAAGACGACUACGGGAGGCAGCAGUAGGGAAUCUUACGCAAUGGGCGAAAGCCUGACGGAGCAACGCCGCGUGAGUGAUGAAGGUCUUCGGAGCGUAAAACUCUGUUAUUAGGGACGAACAAAUGUGGAAGUAACUAUGCACGUCUUGACGGUACCUAAUAAGAAAGCCACGGCUAACUACGUG